UUGCGACGUGUCUCGUCAUUGGCCACUACCUUGUUGGGAGGAGCGCCGAGGGGCGGAGAAACGAAGUAGGAAAACCUAUUUUAACCAAGUUUGAGCCGUUACCUCUGUUUGCCAGUACUGUGUGGAAACGUUGGUACCGUGGAGGCCUGGAUGCUAAAACAAACUCUGGAGCGGCUUUUUGUCGUUUAUGAAGAGGUUUGGAUGCUAAAACAAACUCUGGAGCUGUUUUUUCGUCGAACACGAUUGAGACUGGACGCUGAACACACCUACGGCGCGAAGGUUUACUGGUUCAGCUGCUGCAGCCUGGACAGAAACACCAGAUCUCAGCAAACAAACCAAACAGUUGUCACCAUUUCAUCCACAAUCAAAGAGUCUUCGUACAAUGAAGAAGUUCUUUGAGACCAGGACAGAGGCAUCCAGGACUCAAACUUGAACCAUUAAAUCACAGCAAGAAGAGACAGAUGUGAAGACAUUUCUAGAAGGUCUUCAGCUGCUCUCAUCUUCUCCUGCAGAGACAAGAACGUCACAGAAACUGAUCAGUAAAUCUACAUAUUUAUAUGAGAGACUGUCCUGACAUUUUUCGAUGUUUUUAUGCUUUGUAGGUUAGGUUAGAUUUUCGUUUGGAUAUUUUGCUAUUUCAAAACAGUGCAAUACCAGUACUCAAAUCCAAUCUACUACUGUGUACAUAGUCCUGUUUAUACUGUACAUAUUAGUACAAACUGUAGUAUAUUAGUAUAACUUGUAUAUAUUAUUACAUAUUGUUUUAGAUCUUGUCUUUUUUUAUAUAUAUAUAAUGCCCUUUUCUACUAUACUAUGUUGCAACAGCUUACUCAAAUAAAU
Lates calcarifer (barramundi perch) is the source of this 840-nucleotide long non-coding RNA. RefSeq lists it as uncharacterized. The transcript is spliced from 5 exons. The record is from RefSeq and is a predicted model, not a curated record. Lineage: Eukaryota; Metazoa; Chordata; Actinopteri; Centropomidae.